GGAACGACUCUCGGCAACGGAUAUCUCGGCUCUCGCAUCGAUGAAGAACGUAGCGAAAUGCGAUACUUGGUGUGAAUUGCAGAAUCCCGUGAACCAUCGAGUCUUUGAACGCAAGUUGCGCCCGAAGCCAUUCGGCCGAGGGCACGCCUGCCUGGGCGUCAC
Molecule: ribosomal RNA, 162 nt
Filed under: Olinia emarginata
Lineage: Eukaryota; Viridiplantae; Streptophyta; Magnoliopsida; Myrtales; Penaeaceae
Description: 5.8S ribosomal RNA
Rfam family: 5.8S ribosomal RNA
About the family: 5.8S ribosomal RNA (5.8S rRNA) is a component of the large subunit of the eukaryotic ribosome. It is transcribed by RNA polymerase I as part of the 45S precursor that also contains 18S and 28S rRNA. Functionally, it is thought that 5.8S rRNA may be involved in ribosome translocation.
Source: RNAcentral